RNAcentral lists this ribosomal RNA (991 nucleotides) under Salmonella enterica. RNAcentral's name for it is "partial 23S ribosomal RNA". It matches the Rfam family "Bacterial large subunit ribosomal RNA", at positions 161 to 1190 of the family's 2925-position model. RNAcentral also lists the same sequence under 1 other name. The record is from RNAcentral. Lineage: Bacteria; Pseudomonadati; Pseudomonadota; Gammaproteobacteria; Enterobacterales; Enterobacteriaceae.
AAUCCAUAGGUUAAUGAGGCGAACCGGGGGAACUGAAACAUCUAAGUACCCCGAGGAAAAGAAAUCAACCGAGAUUCCCCCAGUAGCGGCGAGCGAACGGGGAGGAGCCCAGAGCCUGAAUCAGCAUGUGUGUUAGUGGAAGCGUCUGGAAAGGCGCGCGAUACAGGGUGACAGCCCCGUACACAAAAGCGCAUGUGUUGUGAGCUCGAUGAGUAGGGCGGGACACGUGGUAUCCUGUCUGAAUAUGGGGGGACCAUCCUCCAAGGCUAAAUACUCCUGACUGACCGAUAGUGAACCAGUACCGUGAGGGAAAGGCGAAAAGAACCCCGGCGAGGGGAGUGAAAAAGAACCUGAAACCGUGUACGUACAAGCAGUGGGAGCACAGGUUUACCUGUGUGACUGCGUACCUUUUGUAUAAUGGGUCAGCGACUUAUAUUCUGUAGCAAGGUUAACCGAAUAGGGGAGCCGGAGGGAAACCGAGUCUUAAUUGGGCGUUAAGUUGCAGGGUAUAGACCCGAAACCCGGUGAUCUAGCCAUGGGCAGGUUGAAGGUUGGGUAACACUAACUGGAGGACCGAACCGACUAAUGUUGAAAAAUUAGCGGAUGACCUGUGGCUGGGGGUGAAAGGCCAAUCAAACCGGGAGAUAGCUGGUUCUCCCCGAAAGCUAUUUAGGUAGCGCCUCGUGAAUUCAUCUCCGGGGGUAGAGCACUGUUUCGGCUAGGGGGCCAUCCCGGCUUACCAACCCGAUGCAAACUGCGAAUACCGGAGAAUGUUAUCACGGGAGACACACGGCGGGUGCUAACGUCCGUCGUGAAGAGGGAAACAACCCAGACCGCCAGCUAAGGUCCCAAAGUCAUGGUUAAGUGGGAAACGAUGUGGGAAGGCCCAGACAGCCAGGAUGUUGGCUUAGAAGCAGCCAUCAUUUAAAGAAAGCGUAAUAGCUCACUGGUCGAGUCGGCCUGCGCGGAAGAUGUAACGGGGCUAAACCAU